UGUAUUUAGCAUAUCAACAAACACGGAAGCCUUUCAAUCCAAUCCUUGGAGAGACUUAUGAAUUGGUUAACCAUGGUGGAAUUACAUUUCUUGCAAAACAGGUGAGUCAUCAUCCCCAAAGAGUGAUGGGCAUGCUGAGAAUGACCAUUUUGCAUAUGAUGUGACUUCAAAGU
Molecule: non-coding RNA, 173 nt
Organism: Arachis ipaensis
Lineage: Eukaryota; Viridiplantae; Streptophyta; Magnoliopsida; Fabales; Fabaceae
Source: RefSeq, a predicted model, not a curated record